UCAAACAAAAUUCAUAUUCUUUGGAAGGAUUCUUCAAAGCUUCUACUUGAGGUUAAUUCUUUGAUAUGGUGCUUCUUCUUCAUAUUCUCUUUUUGAUGAAGUUCCUUCAUUUGAUCAAGAAUCCUCUGAGGAUCAUUCGACCACUCAGAUUGUUCUUUCAAAUGAGAUUAUUGGAGUCAAUUUCUCUUCAAUAGAGUUCGUUGAUGAAGUUGUUAGAGAGGAUUUUAGAUUUGAGCUCAUGCCUUUAUCCUUUGACAAUUGAAUUAAUU
Molecule: long non-coding RNA, 269 nt
Filed under: Lathyrus oleraceus (garden pea)
Lineage: Eukaryota; Viridiplantae; Streptophyta; Magnoliopsida; Fabales; Fabaceae
Description: Pisum sativum (pea) long non-coding RNA (PSAT_LNC021200)
Source: RNAcentral